CAAUAGCGUAUAUUAAAGUUGUUGCAGUUAGAACGCUCGUAGUCGGAUUUCGGGGCGGGCCGACCGGUCUGCCGAUGGGUAUGCACUGGUCGGCGCGUCCUUCCUUCCGGAGACCGUCCCUACUCUUAACUGAGCGGGGGCGGGAGACGGGACUUUUACUUUGAAAAAAUCAGAGUGUUUCAAGCAGGCAGCUCGCUCUUGCAUGGAUUAGCAUGGGAUAAUGAAAUAGGACUUUGGUGCUAUUUUGUUGGUUUCGAACACCGAAGUAAUGAUGAGAAGGGACAGUCAGGGGCACUCGUAUUCCGCCGAGAGAGGUGAAAUUCUCAGACCAGCGGAAGACGAACCACUGCGAAAGCAUUUGCCAGGGAUGGUUUCACUGA
Molecule: ribosomal RNA, 380 nt
Filed under: uncultured eukaryote
Lineage: Eukaryota
Description: partial 18S ribosomal RNA
Rfam family: Eukaryotic small subunit ribosomal RNA
Source: RNAcentral